CACGUAAGUUGCGAGCGUUGUUCGGAAUUAUUGGGCGUAAAGGGCAUGUAGGCGGUUCUGCAAGUCUGGUGUGAAAUGCCGGGGCUCAACCCCGGAACUGCGUAGGAAACUGCAGGACUUGAAUCGCUGAGGGGCGGCCAGAAUUCCAGGUGUAGGGGUGAAAUCUGUAGAUAUCUGGAAGAGUACCAAUGGCGGAGGCAGGCUGCCAGCAGAUGAUCGACGCUGAGGUGCGAAGGUGCGGGGAGCAAAC
RNAcentral lists this ribosomal RNA (250 nucleotides) under uncultured prokaryote. Its description in RNAcentral is "partial 16S ribosomal RNA". It matches the Rfam family "Bacterial small subunit ribosomal RNA", at positions 524 to 773 of the family's 1533-position model. The record is from RNAcentral.